This 301-nucleotide ribosomal RNA is filed under the name uncultured bacterium. RNAcentral's name for it is "partial 16S ribosomal RNA". It matches the Rfam family "Bacterial small subunit ribosomal RNA", at positions 509 to 807 of the family's 1533-position model. The record is from RNAcentral.
CAGUAGCCGCGGUAAUACGAGGGGGGCAAGCGUUGUUCGGAUUUACUGGGCGUAAAGCGUGCGUAGGCGGCUUCUUAAGUCGGAUGUGAAAUCCCUGAGCUUAACUUAGGAAUUGCAUUCGAUACUGGGAAGCUAGAGUAUGGGAGAGGAUGGUAGAAUUCCAGGUGUAGCGGUGAAAUGCGUAGAGAUCUGGAGGAAUACCGAUGGCGAAGGCAGCCAUCUGGCCUAAUACUGACGCUGAGGUACGAAAGCAUGGGGAGCAAACAGGAUUAGAUACCCGUGUAGUCCCUGUCUCUUAUAC